UCCAUCUACCUCCAAAUUACAGGGUUUGCGUCUCAGUUUUCAGGCCAGCAGAGCCCAAUAGAUUACAGCAGAGCAGUUUCCAACCUGUCAGUGUGGGGACCAUGGGAUUCCCUUCUUCCUCAGACAGGGACUGCACCCAUCAGCCAAAAGCAGAUACUGAAUAAUACAUUGCAUCUGCUGAUCCAUCUCCAUGAAGCAAAGGAAAAAUCAUCUGAAGACAUCUUUGGGUACUGUGAGGCAUCUCAACUAUGAUAGCCAAACAAAUCAUCCCACCCCACUGCUGAUUUCCUCUUACCAGAGGUGAGUAGGCUGAGGAUCCCAUUAUACCUCUACUUCAUAAAAGACAGAAGUGUGAUGGUCCAGCUGACAGCUGACUCCUGACACUAUUCUCCAACCAGCAGAGCGGCAGGGAACCAGAGCUGUAUAAACUGACUCAGAGCUCCACCUCCCACUGAUUUCAACAGCACAAAUUAUGCACUUGUUCUCAGCCAAAUGAAGGUUUCUUCUACUGCUGUAGUGAUUUAGGGGAAAGAAGGACACAGGUCAGACAUUUAUUUUGGGAUUAGCCUGAGAUAAAACAGCUCUUCAUCACUGUGAGUUUUGAAAAACACACACGGGAGGAUAUGGUGGGGCACUUGUAACCUUCACCAACUGCAGGACGCUUGAGAGUGCAUUGCAGCUAUUCUCAUCUAAGGAAGAGUUCCUCUCCCCUUGUUUUUGUUACAUAAGGGAUGUCAUUGGGUAAAAACAGAACCAG
This 757-nucleotide long non-coding RNA is filed under the name Coturnix japonica (Japanese quail). RNAcentral describes it as "lncRNA (ENSCJPG00005014471.1)". The record is from RNAcentral. Lineage: Eukaryota; Metazoa; Chordata; Aves; Galliformes; Phasianidae.